GUAAUGUAAAGCUCGAUCAUUGAUAGCUCAUGUAAAGAUAGACUCGUAUUUAAGACGUGUGAUUUAUAUUCUGCAAUGUUUGUCAAUAAAAUUUCUCCUAAUGUUGUUACAUACAAUACUCUCUAGUCCGUGACUUUUGAAUUGUGUGAGUGAACAUGAAAAAGCAAUUGGUUUGUUAGAUGAUAUGUUAUUGAAAAACAUCAACCAUACAAAAUAUAUAUAUUCAAUUCCAUCUCAUCUCAGAAACCAAUUGCUUUUUUGGUUCACCCCACAAUGCAGAAGAGGAGGCUUACAGGAUGGUAAGUGACAACAUUUGGAGAAAUUCUUUUCACGAGUAUUUCAGAAUAUAAAUCAUGGGCCUUAGUUACAAGUUUGUCUUUACUUAAACUAUCAAUGAUUGUGCUGUACAUAACUAUAUUGCAAUAUUUUGGAUUCCAUGGUUUUCAUUCCAAGGAGGCGAAACAGGUUCUGGAGUGGGAAAUUGGUAGUUUUGAUGGUCAAAUAGGAACCUAGGGCCGAAACAUCAUUCAUAUGAUGCAUGAUUUGCUCAUGGUGCAAUGAACUAGAGUUUGAAGAGACUAGGAAUUGAAAAUUCAUAAGGAAAUGGGCCAACUUGCCCAUCAACGAACAUUUAUGCCUGAGGGAUACAGGAAAUCACUUGACUGAAGUCUGAACAAUGGAAUGAAUAGAGAUGGAUCUGAGCGCAGUGGAAUUCUGAACCAUCAAGCGAAAAGUAAAACUCAUCUCAGAAAGGGAGAUGUAUCAAAGCAUGAAGUAGUUGGAAAUAAAUGAUUGGCAAAGGGAAAUCACCCGAUUGCCAAGUAAGACGGGGAAAUAGAGGGGAAGGAGAGGAAAAUAGUGAGUGUCAUGAAGGUUCCACAUCUCUUAUACUCUAUUUUAAUUCAAGGGCUGCCUUUGUUACAAUCUUGCACCCUCAGCAUCUCUGUUCUAAAGAAGGUAAGUUGCGCCGUUGAAAUUUAUUUCCCGAACCUUCACCAUAAGCAUUGUGGUUGAAGCAUUAUUUGACUAACUAGCUAUGUUUACAUUACUAAGCUACAGAGUUCUUGUAAGGGGGAACCACAUAGUACUAGACACUCGAGACAAUCUUUCAAAGAAUAAUACUUUUUUCAAAUUAAGCCAAUUCACUCCUUUCCUAUUCAAAGAUCAUCAUUUUGUCAAUGUGUUUUCAUGUUAGAAAAUUCUUUGUAGUUAAAGAGAUGUGAAGUAAACUUCUUACUCCACAGACAAAUAUAUUCUUAUAUCUAUAUGUAAACAUUGAUUUAUCAUGAAUACGCAGAAUUGUUUUUUUUUAAUAUUGUUAAGAUAAUUUAAAAUCAAUUGUUCAUUAUCUAAUAAAUAUUUUCGUUCUAAUAUUCUAUUGAGAGUUAUUAUUUAUCAAUAUUUAUUCCUAUCUAAUAAAGAUAGUGUUAUGGAAUCAAAUGACAAAAAAUGAUUUUUUCCAUAUAAGAUUGUUGUUAUUUACUUCAAUAACAAAUCAUUGUUUUAACUGAAUAACUAA
Long non-coding RNA from Glycine soja, 1519 nucleotides. RefSeq lists it as uncharacterized. Lineage: Eukaryota; Viridiplantae; Streptophyta; Magnoliopsida; Fabales; Fabaceae. The transcript is spliced from 4 exons. The record is from RefSeq and is a predicted model, not a curated record.